GAUGAACGCUGGCGGCGUGCCUAAUACAUGCAAGUCGAGCGAACAGACGAGGAGCUUGCUCCUCUGACGUUAGCGGCGGACGGGUGAGUAACACGUGGAUAACCUACCUAUAAGACUGGGAUAACUUCGGGAAACCGGAGCUAAUACCGGAUAAUAUAUUGAACCGCAUGGUUCAAUAGUGAAAGACGGUUUUGCUGUCACUUAUAGAUGGAUCCGCGCCGCAUUAGCUAGUUGGUAAGGUAACGGCUUACCAAGGCAACGAUGCGUAGCCGACCUGAGAGGGUGAUCGGCCACACUGGAACUGAGACACGGUCCAGACUCCUACUGGAGGCAGCAGUAGGGAAUCUUCCGCAAUGGGCGAAAGCCUGACGGAGCAACGCCGCGUGAGUGAUGAAGGUCUUCGGAUCGUAAAACUCUGUUAUUAGGGAAGAACCAAUGUGUAAGUAACUAUGCACGUCUUGACGGUACCUAAUCAGAAAGCCACGGCUAACUACGUG
This 497-nucleotide ribosomal RNA is filed under the name uncultured bacterium. RNAcentral describes it as "partial 16S ribosomal RNA". It matches the Rfam family "Bacterial small subunit ribosomal RNA", at positions 28 to 507 of the family's 1533-position model. The record is from RNAcentral.